CCAAUAGCGUAUAUUAAAGUUGUUGCAGUUAAAAAGCUCGUAGUUGAAUUUCGGGAUCAGUACGCUGGUCAUGCCUUUGGUAUGCACUGGUGUCACUGGUUUCUCCCUUCUGAAGAUCCGUGAUGUCAUUAAUUUGGUGUCGCGGGGAAUCAGGACUGUUACUUUGAAAAAAUUAGAGUGUUUAAAGCAGGCUCACGCUUGAAUACAUUAGCAUGGAAUAAUGAAAUAGGACGUUUGACCCUAUUUUGUUGGUUUCUAGGAUCGACGUAAUGAUUAAUAGGGAUAGUUGGGGGCAUUAGUAUUCAAUUGUCAGAGGUGAAAUUCUUGGAUUUAUUGAAGACUAACUACUGCGAAAGCAUUUGCCAAGGAUGUUUUCAUUAAUCAAGAACGAAAGUUAGGGGAUCGAAGACGAUCAGGUACCGUCGUAGUCUUAACCAUAAACUAUGCCGACUAGGGAUCGGAUGAUGUUAAUUUUAUAAUGACUCAUUCGGCGCCUUACG
This 500-nucleotide ribosomal RNA is filed under the name uncultured Glomeromycotina. RNAcentral describes it as "partial small subunit ribosomal RNA". It matches the Rfam family "Eukaryotic small subunit ribosomal RNA", at positions 591 to 1092 of the family's 1831-position model. The record is from RNAcentral. Lineage: Eukaryota; Fungi; Glomeromycota.